GACGAACGCUGGCGGCGUGCUUAACACAUGCAAGUCGAACGGAAAGGCCCUGCUUUUGUGGGGUGCUCGAGUGGCGAACGGGUGAGUAACACGUGAGUAACCUGCCCUUGACUUUGGGAUAACUUCAGGAAACUGGGGCUAAUACCGGAUAGGAGCUCCUGCUGCAUGGUGGGGGUUGGAAAGUUUCGGCGGUUGGGGAUGGACUCGCGGCUUAUCAGCUUGUUGGUGGGGUAGUGGCUUACCAAGGCUUUGACGGGUAGCCGGCCUGAGAGGGUGACCGGCCACAUUGGGACUGAGAUACGGCCCAGACUCCUACGGGCGGCAGCAGUGGGGAAUAUUGCACAAUGGGCGGAAGCCUGAUGCAGCAACGCCGCGUGCGGGAUGACGGCCUUCGGGUUGUAAACCGCUUUCGCCUGUGACGAAGCGUGAGUGACGGUAAUGGGUAAAGAAGCACCGGCUAACUCCGUG
RNAcentral lists this ribosomal RNA (468 nucleotides) under uncultured bacterium. RNAcentral describes it as "partial 16S ribosomal RNA". It matches the Rfam family "Bacterial small subunit ribosomal RNA", at positions 28 to 507 of the family's 1533-position model. The record is from RNAcentral.